Long non-coding RNA from Branchiostoma floridae (Florida lancelet), 504 nucleotides. RefSeq lists it as uncharacterized. The record is from RefSeq and is a predicted model, not a curated record. The transcript has 3 exons. Lineage: Eukaryota; Metazoa; Chordata; Leptocardii; Amphioxiformes; Branchiostomatidae.
CAUGUCCGACGCUGACGGCUCCAACUAACGGAACGCUGAGUCCUCCCGUACCACACUCCUUCCCGACAGUGGUCACAUUCGCCUGUGACACGGGACACGUACGGAACGGUUCUGAAACUACGACGUGCCAAGCUGACGGAUCAUGGAGCAACUCUGUUCCAACAUGCACACCCAGACCAUGUCCGACGCUGACGGCGCCAACUAACGGAACGCUGAGUCCUCCCGUACCACACUCCUACCCGACAGUGGUCACAUUCACCUGUGACACGGGAUACGUACGGAACGGUUCUGAAACUACGACGUGCCAAGCUGACGGAUCAUGGAGCAACUCUGUUCCAACAUGCACACCCAGACCAUGUCCGACGCUGACGGCUCCAACUAACGGAACGCUGAGUCCUCCCGUACCACACUCCUACCCGACAGUGGUCACAUUCGCCUGUGACACGGGAUACGUACAAAACGGUUCUGAAACUACGACAUGCCAAGCUGACGGAUCAUGGAACA